GUCUGUCUAUAUGCUGUCUUUGCCGGGGAUAGACCAGGAAUGGAGUCUUAGAACUUUUAAUCAUGGUUAAAGACACAAGUUGGAAACCAAAGUAAGAAGACACUUGGAAAGGCUGUUCUUGUCAAACUGUCGGUGCAAUUUAUACACCAAGAGGGAUGUUCUGAGACUGAAUGUGUAAUGGAUUAUAUGCUUGUGAAGGCCUAUAUUUGCACUGAUCCCAGGAACCUAGGUUAAAAUCUGCAGCGAGCAGUCACAUCUGUUAAAUAAAAGCAUGCAAAAACACAGAAAAAUCAUGAAAUGAAGCAGACAAGAGGCUACAGAAAGGAAAUACUGGCUUAGGCUGAAGUCAGACUCUUUAAAAGGCUGAGUCUGUGAGGUGCAGAAGCUGACUGUGUGCAAGAUGAUAAAACCAGCAUCAAAGAUAACAAGGACAAGGGAGCAUACUGAAAUAUGAAGGAUUCUAUCUUUUCUGAAAUUUUACACUGCAAGGGGGCACAGUAUGGGCUUCCUUGCUGCUUGUAAUGAAUGUACACAACACAGGUGGGUUGUAACAUGUCUGUAUUCAAACUCCCUCAGCUUGUAUUUGUGUGAGAACCACUUUCUAUGGUACAUAGUGCAAAGGACAGACAGUAGCAAUGGUAUCUCAGAGUAGCUUCACUAUUGCAUUUUUGAGUUAAUCCUUACCUGACCUGGAAGGGUGAUAUUCAACCACAAAGGUUUUGCUUUGCAAACACAAGCCUAUACAAUGAAAUGCCUUUAAAAUAAGAAUUGCAAGUUGUACAAUUGUUCUGUGCAUCAUAACCAAAAUUUCUCAGGAAAAUUUCUAAUUGUGAGUUCUUUAAUUAUGGGAUAUGUGUCAUGAGCUCUUGCUUCUGAUCUCAGAUGAAAAAUGAAGUAAAUCCUACACCUUAAGAAAAAAGAAAUUCCAAGCAAAAUGGGUAUUUAUUUGUACAGUAGAACCUCAGU
Long non-coding RNA from Chelonia mydas (Green sea turtle), 966 nucleotides. RefSeq lists it as uncharacterized. Lineage: Eukaryota; Metazoa; Chordata; Testudines; Cheloniidae. The record is from RefSeq and is a predicted model, not a curated record. The transcript is spliced from 3 exons.